UCAGAUGCGAAAGCGUGGGGAGCAAACAGGAUUAGAUACCCUGGUAGUCCACGCCGUAAACGAUGUCUACUUGGAGGUUGUGGCCUUGAGCCGUGGCUUUCGGAGCUAACGCGUUAAGUAGACCGCCUGGGGAGUACGGUCGCAAGAUUAAAACUCAAAUGAAUUGACGGGGGCCCGCACAAGCGGUGGAGCAUGUGGUUUAAUUCGAUGCAACGCGAAGAACCUUACCUACUCUUGACAUCCAGAGAACUUUCCAGAGAUGGAUUGGUGCCUUCGGGAACUCUGAGACAGGUGCUGCAUGGCUGUCGUCAGCUCGUGUUGUGAAAUGUUGGGUUAAGUCCCGCAACGAGCGCAACCCUUAUCCUUGUUUGCCAGCGAGUCAUGUCGGGAACUCCAGGGAGACUGCCGGUGAUAAACCGGAGGAAGGUAGGGACGACGUCAAGUCAUCAUGGCCCUUACGAGUAGGGCUACACACGUGCUACAAUGGCGCAUACAGAGGGCGGCCAACUUGCGAAAGUGAGCGAAUCCCAAAAAGUGCGUCGUAGUCCGGAUCGGAGUCUGCAACUCGACUCCGUGAAGUCGGAAUCGCUAGCAAUCGUGGAUCAGAAUGCCACGGUGAAUACGUUCCCGGGCCUUGUACACACCGCCCA
RNAcentral lists this ribosomal RNA (650 nucleotides) under uncultured bacterium. Its description in RNAcentral is "bacterial SSU rRNA". It matches the Rfam family "Bacterial small subunit ribosomal RNA", at positions 747 to 1396 of the family's 1533-position model. The record is from RNAcentral.